Juglans microcarpa x Juglans regia is the source of this 595-nucleotide long non-coding RNA. RefSeq lists it as uncharacterized. Lineage: Eukaryota; Viridiplantae; Streptophyta; Magnoliopsida; Fagales; Juglandaceae. The transcript has 2 exons. The record is from RefSeq and is a predicted model, not a curated record.
AGUUUUGUUCCCAUUUGCGGUGAAUUAAUUUGUAGAUGCCGCAAUUUCAAAGAUUCGGUGAAUUCCUAGACGCCGCAAUUUCUUCUAAUCUACAUGUGGUGAGGAUGUAUGGCGCAGGAAAUGCCAAAACUACCGCUUUCUAAAAUUUACAGCUGUUGGGUUGGAUAUGCGGUGAAUAAAUGAAGAAAUCCACUCACAGAAUUAGAUCUAUGGGUUUUGCGAACGCUGGCUUCAAACAAUAGUUGAGCAAAUUUAUGGGUUUCUUGGAAUGCAGCGCAACAACGUUAAGAUAUUUGAAAGCUCAUGUUUUGAACCCAGAAGGAUCCGAGUCAGAUGAAGCUACGUUGUCCCGAGCCAGAUUUUUGCGCUAAUUACUUCUUCCCUUACUAUUUAAUUUUGGCAUGAUUAUUAGAAUUUUGCUACUUUUGGAAAAAAAAAAAAAAAAAAAAGAAAAAAAAAAUUCUUUUAUCAAUUUGCAGUUAUUAUAAUGGCCUGACUUGUGGGCUGAUUUUUGACAUUCUUGGAUUUGAUAAUUUUGAUUUGAACAAUUCUGUGUUUUUUGAUGAUUCUCUUGUUCUCUUCCCAAAAAUUCUAU